This 72-nucleotide transfer RNA is filed under the name Perkinsus olseni. Its description in RNAcentral is "tRNA-Pro". It matches the Rfam family "tRNA". Rfam says of the family: Transfer RNA (tRNA) molecules are approximately 80 nucleotides in length. Their secondary structure includes four short double-helical elements and three loops (D, anti-codon, and T loops). The record is from RNAcentral. Lineage: Eukaryota; Perkinsozoa; Perkinsida; Perkinsidae.
GGCUGUGUGGUCUAGUGGUAUGAUUCUCGCUUAGGGUGCGAGAGGUCCCGAGUUCAAAUCACGGCACAGCCC